This is a non-coding RNA of Myotis lucifugus (little brown bat), 73 nucleotides long. Lineage: Eukaryota; Metazoa; Chordata; Mammalia; Chiroptera; Vespertilionidae. The record is from Rfam.
GCCGGUGUAGCUCAGUGGCUAGAGCGUCGGCCUGUGGACCAAGGGGUCCCGGGUUCGAUUCCGGGCAAGGGCA